This 468-nucleotide ribosomal RNA is filed under the name uncultured bacterium. RNAcentral describes it as "partial 16S ribosomal RNA". It matches the Rfam family "Bacterial small subunit ribosomal RNA", at positions 28 to 507 of the family's 1533-position model. The record is from RNAcentral.
GACGAACGCUGGCGGCGUGCUUAACACAUGCAAGUCGAACGGAAAGGCCCUGCUUUUGUGGGGUGCUCGAGUGGCGAACGGGUGAGUAACACGUGAGUAACCUGCCCUUGACUUUGGGAUAACUUCAGGAAACUGGGGCUAAUACCGGAUAGGAGCUCCUGCUGCAUGGUGGGGGUUGGAAAGUUUCGGCGGUUGGGGAUGGACUCGCGGCUUAUCAGCUUGUUGGUGGGGUAGUGGCUUACCAAGGCUUUGACGGGUAGCCGGCCUGAGAGAGUGACCGGCCACAUUGGGACUGAGAUACGGCCCAGACACCUACGGGAGGCAACAGUGGGAAAUAUUGCAAAAUGGGCGGAAGCCUGAUGCAGCAACGCCGCGUGCGGGAUGACGGCCUUCGGGUUGUAAACCGCUUUCGCCUGUGACGAAGCGUGAGUGACGGUAAUGGGUAAAGAAGCACCGGCUAACUACGUG